This 224-nucleotide long non-coding RNA is filed under the name Malus domestica (apple). RNAcentral's name for it is "long non-coding RNA (MDOM_LNC014946)". Lineage: Eukaryota; Viridiplantae; Streptophyta; Magnoliopsida; Rosales; Rosaceae. The record is from RNAcentral.
UUACACAAAAACAAUUUGACAUUUCUCAAGUUGCACAAUCCCAAUUUUGCCCAAAUGAGAAAUCAGAUGAAUUUUCGAUAGAAAAUGACGAAACAGAGAGAGAUACUUACAUGCUAGAAUGGCAAAGAUGAUGGCCCAAGGUUUGUGCAGGGGAAACGACGCCGUAUUGUGGUUCUCUGACUCGCUAGGGUUUCGAAGUGUGAGGAGUGGGGAAGGUGUGCACA